GACGAACGCUGGCGGCGUGCCUAAUACAUGCAAGUUGAGCGCUGAAGGUUGGUACUUGUACCAACUGGAUGAGCAGCGAACGGGUGAGUAACGCGUGGGGAAUCUGCCUUUGAGCGGGGGACAACAUUUGGAAACGAAUGCUAAUACCGCAUAAAAACUUUAAACACAUGUUUCAAGUUUGAAAGAUGCAAUUGCAUCACUCAAAGAUGAUCCCGCGUUGUAUUAGCUAGUUGGUGAGGUAAAGGCUCACCAAGGCGAUGAUACAUAGCCGACCUGAGAGGGUGAUCGGCCACAUUGGGACUGAGACACGGCCCAAACUCCUACGGGAGGCAGCAGUAGGGAAUCUUCGGCAAUGGACGAAAGUCUGACCGAGCAACGCCGCGUGAGUGAAGAAGGUUUUCGGAUCGUAAAACCCUGUUGGUAGAGAAGAACGUUGGUGAGAGUGGAAAGCUCAUCAAGUGACGGUAACUACCCAGAAAGGGACGGCUAACUACGUG
RNAcentral lists this ribosomal RNA (497 nucleotides) under uncultured bacterium. RNAcentral describes it as "partial 16S ribosomal RNA". It matches the Rfam family "Bacterial small subunit ribosomal RNA", at positions 28 to 507 of the family's 1533-position model. The record is from RNAcentral.